RNAcentral lists this long non-coding RNA (720 nucleotides) under Chinchilla lanigera (long-tailed chinchilla). RNAcentral's name for it is "lncRNA (ENSCLAG00000027520.1)". Lineage: Eukaryota; Metazoa; Chordata; Mammalia; Rodentia; Chinchillidae. The record is from RNAcentral.
CUGGAACUGCUUCAAAGUCCUUUGUCCUCCUGUGGAUCACGGGAAUUGAAACCUCCGUCCACCCCUUUGAAAUGCUCCAGCACUUAUCUCUCAGGAUGUGUUUCUGGGGCCCUACAAGACAGCGCACUUGUUCUUUCUUUUCCAACAGCUUCGCAGUCUGAGCUCAUUCACUGCAUCCUCAGUGACUCCCUGGCUUUUAGUUUCUUUCCUGCCCUGACCCGUGAAUAUCUCAUUUGUUGGCUUUGUUGUCCCAAUGAGAAGGCAGAUAAGACAGGUGCGGAUAGAACCUUCCUAUGCAGCCCUGUCUAUCUGUGGAAAGUGACACCAUGAAUUUAAGGAUAAUCGCUGGAUGACUUACACAAAAGCCUCUGUGAGUAAAGAGGAUGAUUUGUAAGGUGAGGGAAUGAGGACACUUUAUCACGAGCAUCAGUUUUACAUUUUCAAAUGCAGCCUUCAUCAUAGUCCUGGGACAUGAGCAGGUACUACAUAUAUGAACACCUCCGCUUUACAAGCAAGUUGUAUAAACGUGAAACACACACCUUGAGGAGAGACACUCCAUCCGACGAGGUCACAUCAUUUGAGUAGUUGGCAAAUGAAUAGUAAAACCUCAAAACUCUGGCUGAUAUAAAAUAAGUUGUUUUUCUUCCUUAUCUACAUGGUUGUUGCCAAAUCCUCAUGUAGAGGACGGGGUGAUCACUUCCCAUACGUUUUUAUUUUAAA